CGGGUAACGGGGAAUCAGGGUUCGAUUCCGGAGAGGACACCUGAGAAACGGCGUCCACAUCUACGGGUGGCAGCAGGCGCGUAAAUUGCCCAAUCUCAAUAGAGAGGAGGCGGUGACAAUAAAUCCCGAUGGCCAUGGGGGCAACCCCGGGCCAAUCAGAAUAAGUACACAUUAAAUACCCUAACCAAUAUAAUUGGAGGGCAAGUCUGGUGCCAGCAGCCGCGGUAAUUCCAGCUCCAAUAGCGUAUACUAAUGUUGUUGCAGUUAAAACGCUCGUAGCUGAACAACUUGAUGGCAAAUUCAGGUCAAUGUGGCACGUCCAUGGGGGGAAACCUCUAUGCGGCAGUGUCCUUGACCGGCUAAGCAGGUAGGUAGUUUGGCGUGUGUAGUAAUACAUGCGUCAGGCGAUCGACUGUGCAUAAACCUUGAUGCUCAAGGUAAAGACGACUCUAGUCAAAGAUACGCAGUGCAUGGCAUUGUGGAACAAGGCGAUCCGUAGCUUGGUUGGUGAGCUACGGGUGCAAUGAUUAAUAGGGAGGAGCGGGGGCCU
This 550-nucleotide ribosomal RNA is filed under the name uncultured Cavenderia. RNAcentral's name for it is "bacterial SSU rRNA". It matches the Rfam family "Eukaryotic small subunit ribosomal RNA", at positions 356 to 891 of the family's 1831-position model. Lineage: Eukaryota; Evosea; Eumycetozoa; Acytosteliales; Cavenderiaceae. The record is from RNAcentral.